RNAcentral lists this ribosomal RNA (208 nucleotides) under uncultured bacterium. Its description in RNAcentral is "partial 16S ribosomal RNA". It matches the Rfam family "Bacterial small subunit ribosomal RNA", at positions 124 to 334 of the family's 1533-position model. The record is from RNAcentral.
AAGAGCUCGAUGGAGGGGGAUAACUACUGGAAACGGUAGCUAAUACCGCAUAACGUCGCAAGACCAAAGAGGGGGACCUUAGGGCCUCUUGCCAUCGGAUGUGCCCAGAUGGGAUUAGCUAGUAGGUGGGGUAACGGCUCACCUAGGCGACGAUCCCUAGCUGGUCUGAGAGGAUGACCAGCCACACUGGAACUGAGACACGGUCCAG